RNAcentral lists this ribosomal RNA (265 nucleotides) under uncultured bacterium. RNAcentral's name for it is "partial 16S ribosomal RNA". It matches the Rfam family "Bacterial small subunit ribosomal RNA", at positions 793 to 1055 of the family's 1533-position model. The record is from RNAcentral.
GUCCACGCCGUAAACGAUGAGUGCUAAGUGUUGGAGGGUUUCCGCCCUUCAGUGCUGCAGCUAACGCAUUAAGCACUCCGCCUGGGGAGUACGGUCGCAAGACUGAAACUCAAAGGAAUUGACGGGGGGCCCGCACAAGCGGUGGAGCAUGUGGUUUAAUUCGAAGCAACGCGAAGAACCUUACCAGGUCUUGACAUCCUUUGACCACUCUAGAGAUAGAGUUUUCCCUUCGGGGACAAAGUGACAGGUGGUGCAUGGUUGUCGU